CUUGGCUCACUGCAACCUCGGCCUCCCAGGUUCAGGUGAUUCUUCUGCCUCAGCCUCCUGAGUAGCUGGGACUACAGAUGCAUAAUCAAAUAUAUAAGUAAAAAUUGACAUUUCCUUUGAGAACUACUUGGACAGUGACCUGAACAUCUCAAGAAAAACCUUGGUGGAAUUGCAUGAACCUGAUUUGGGUCAAAAUUAAGCACCACGCUGAAAAUCAUGCCUUUGUGAAAUGACAAAUUGAAAGUGUUCAGAAAUUGCAUUUGAACUAGUUGAGAUCCUGAUACAGAUUCUCUCCAUUGCUUUCUUGGCUUUAACACUUCAGUGAAGCAAUCUGCCUUGUUGAGAGGCCCACAUGGCAAGGAACUGAGGGCAGCCCCUGACCAACAGCCAGCCAGGAACUGAAGAUGUCAGUCCAACUACCCCUGAUGAACUGAAUCUUGAACCACGUGAGCUUGGAGUGCAUCCUUCCCAGUUGUGCCAUGAGAUGAGAGCACGGCACCAGUCAACAGUGUGACUGUUCUUUGAGAAAGACACCAAAGCAGAGGGGACAGCUAAGCCAUAUCCAGAUUUUUCACCCACAAAACUGAGAUAAUACAUGUGUGCUUUUUAAACUGUUAAAUUUUGGGACAAUUUGUUAUGCCACAAUAUAUAAUUAAUACACAAGGUUUUUGGCAACUGGAAGAAUAAAAAUAGUAUUUAUGAUAUCACAAGAUGAGUGUAGGUAGAGGGUUUCUUUACAGGGAGAUUUCAGGGUUUCUUUUUUUUUUUGGUGAUGGAGUCUCGCCCUGUUGCCCAGGCUGGAGUGAAUUGGCUCAAUCUCGGCUCACUGCAACCUCCACUUCCUGGGUUCAGGUGAUUCUCCCACCUUAGCCUCCUGAGUAGCUGAGAUUACAGGCACCUGCCAUCAUGCCUGGCUAAUUUUUAUAGAGACGGGGUUUCACCAUGUUGGCCAGGCUGGUCUCGAACUCCUGACCUCAGAUGAUCCACCCAGGCUGGAGUGAACUGGCGCAAUCUCGGCUCACUGCAACCUCCACUUCCUGGGUUCAGGUGAUUCUCCCACCUUAGCCUCCUGAGUAGCUGAGAUUACAGGCACCUGCCAUCAUGCCUGGCUAAUUUUUAUAGAGACGGGGUUUCACCAUGUUGGCCAGGCUGGUCUCGAACUCCUGACCUCAGAUGAUCCGCCUGCCUCGGCCUCCCAAAGUGUUGGGAUUACAGGCGUGAGCCUCUGCACCCAGCUGAUUGCAAGUUUUGGAUAUGUACAAUGCACAUAAGUAUCUAUUUUUGUGAUAAUACUUCUCACUAAUUUUUCAAAUGGUAGUUAGCUACCAAUAUAUAGAAUCUAAAUACUCUCCAUGAGCCACCUUAAAACAAAGUUAUUUAAGGCAUCUUCAAAAAUCAGAUUCUAGGCCGGGUAUGAUGGCUCACACCUGUAAUCCCAGCACUUUAAGAGGCCGAGGCAGGUGGAUGGCUUGAGCCCAGGAGUUCAAGACCAGCCUGAGCAACAUACAGAAACCCCGUCUCUAUUAAAAACACAAAAAUUAGCUGUGCGUGGUGGUGCUUGCCUGUAGUCCUAGCUACUUGGGAGGCUAAAGUGGGAGGAUCACUUGAGCCCAGGAAGUUGAGGCUGCAGCGAGCCGUGAUCACGCCGCCGCACUCCAGUGUGGGUGAUGGGAGUGAGACCCUGUCUAAAAAAAAAAAAAAAAUCAGAUGUUAUAAUAAUUUUAGUCAUAAUUAUUUCUGGAAAUGGAAAACAUCAAAUACAGUACCAACCCAUGAAUUCUGAUGUCUCACUUUUAGAAUUUCUCUAUUCUUUGCUUUCAAUUUGCACAAAAACC
RNAcentral lists this long non-coding RNA (1835 nucleotides) under Homo sapiens (human). RNAcentral describes it as "HSALNT0194268". The record is from RNAcentral. Lineage: Eukaryota; Metazoa; Chordata; Mammalia; Primates; Hominidae.